GACGAACGCUGGCGGCGUGCUUAACACAUGCAAGUCGAACGGAAAGGCCCUGCUUUUGUGGGGUGCUCGAGUGGCGAACGGGUGAGUAACACGUGAGUAACCUGCCCUUUACUUUGGGAUAACUUCAGGAAACUGGGGCUAAUACCGGAUAGGAGCUCCUGCUGCAUGGUGGGGGUUGGAAAGUUUCGGCGGUUGGGGAUGUACUCGCGGCUUAUCAGCUUGUUGGUGGGGUAGUGGCUUACCAAGGCUUUGACGGGUAGCCGGCCUGGGAGGGUGACCGGCCACAAUGGGACUGAGAUACGGCGCAGACUCGUACGGGAGGCAGCAGUGGGGAAUAUUGCAGAAUGGGCGGAAGCCUGAUGCAGCAGCGCCGCGUGCGGGAUGACGGCCUUCGGGUUGUAAACCGCUUUCGCCUGUGACGAAGCGUGAGUGACGGUAAUGGGUAAAGAAGCACCGGCUAACUACGUG
This 468-nucleotide ribosomal RNA is filed under the name uncultured bacterium. Its description in RNAcentral is "partial 16S ribosomal RNA". It matches the Rfam family "Bacterial small subunit ribosomal RNA", at positions 28 to 507 of the family's 1533-position model. The record is from RNAcentral.